Long non-coding RNA from Diceros bicornis minor, 1516 nucleotides. RefSeq lists it as uncharacterized. Lineage: Eukaryota; Metazoa; Chordata; Mammalia; Perissodactyla; Rhinocerotidae. The record is from RefSeq and is a predicted model, not a curated record. The transcript has 3 exons.
UCCGGCGGGGCCCCUCGCGGAGGGCCGGUCACAGUCACCCUCCCCCUCGUUCUGAGUUGUUGGCUCUGAACACGGCAGCAGCGACCCAUCAGCGCAGCGGAACGGACGCGUUUGGGCAGCACGACCCUGGUGUGGGCGCUUCAGCUGGCAUUUUGCCUAGGCCCACAGGCCUUUACGGAGGACGGAUGGACACGCGCCGCCAUCUUGUCGUCCUGCGGGGUGUGGGGACCAGCUCCCACAUGCUGCAGAGUGUCACCGCCAGCCCUACACUUGUGGUGGUCCCGCUGUGGGGUCGCGAGGAAGGGGCUGGAGCCUGGUGGCGCAACAACCUGAGGCCCGGGAUGAUAAUUGCUGCGCGGCGGUGAACUGCUCCCACCACCAGGCAAUGAGGAGAAACAGUCAUCUCCUUCCACAGAUAACCGGACCGCCGCUGCGCGGUCAGCCCUCUGCAGGGUCCAGCCCGAGGCAGGCGGCACUCUAUGCUCGGGGCCUCGGGGCUGGUCCAGCAUGUGAGUCAGCGCUGGGCGCUGUGUGGCCUUGGUCUGUGCCACCGUCUCUGCUCCGGGUGCCUCGGGCCACCGUGGCCACCUCACGGCCACCGGCGCCCACCUACUGGCCUCCACCACCCUCUCACCCCCAGCCCACGGCCACCCUGUUCUCCACUGAUUCAGGCUGGGGCCAACAAUGUCGAGAAAUGGUAUUCUGGAAACGCUCUUCCUUAGGUCACUAUCUCCUUGAAUUUGCUAUGACUUUUUUGCUCUUUUGAUGGCAGGGAGCCUGCCUUGAUCUCUGCAAUCAUGAAUGUGGCUGAGCAAAUACAACUUGUACCUCCAGGAUGGACAUGCCUCCCAGACACUCUGUUGCUAGAAGGGUCCUGGCAUUGCAGGGAAAAGUGGCUCUGCACUGGAGGCUUCACAUAAAGGGCUCAAAAUGUCUGGUCCAGUGGUUAAAAGCUGUUCACAGGGAUGACUGGACCCCGCUAAGCAUUCUUUCAUCUGUAGUGAACAUUUCACCAAAAAAAGCUCUCCAAAAUGCUAGAGGAUCAGUACUACGUGCUCAAGCCCAUGGUCGUGCCCUCCAUCGUCCUCCUGACUGAGAAGGGGGGCUGAAGGCCAUGGCCGCCCCAGGAGAAAGGACACCAGAAAGGCCGCAGGGGUCCUGAGGAACAUGUGAGUGAAGCAGAUGGGAAGGGAGCUACAGGUUCAUUGUCGUCCUUGAGGGAAAAUCUGAGGGCCCAGCUGGAGUCUUGCAAGUUGAAGUGAGCCACUCUGCAGGGUGAACCCGCACCCAGUGCCGCCCAGGAAGCCGCCAGUCAGGAUUGGGCGCAGAGUCUCUGGAAGGAGCUCCAGGAGACAGUGUGGCCUCCACAGCAUCAGGCAACCAGGGAGAUGCAAACACGUCUGCUGUAGAUGCUGGCGAUGGGACCCCCUCUUCCCAGCCAGGGCCUGCUGGGUAAGAUGGCAUUUCCGUGGGUGACUUUAUCACUCAGGAUUUGGGGCAUGAAGACUUAUUGGCU